This 26-nucleotide non-coding RNA is filed under the name Homo sapiens (human). Lineage: Eukaryota; Metazoa; Chordata; Mammalia; Primates; Hominidae. The record is from RNAcentral.
UGAGGAAACGACUUGUUCAUUGGGAA